CCUACUCUCAGUUCGGACUGGAGUCUGCAACCCGACUCCACGAAGCUGGAUUCGCUAGUAAUCGCGCAUCAGCCACGGCGCGGUGAAUACGUUCCCGGGCCUUGUACACACCGCCCGUCAAGCCAUGGGAGCCGGGGGGUACCUGAAGUGCGUAACCGCGAGGAGCGCCCUAGGGUAAAACUGGUGACUGGGGCUAAGUCGUAACAAGGUAAC
This 213-nucleotide ribosomal RNA is filed under the name uncultured bacterium. RNAcentral's name for it is "partial 16S ribosomal RNA". It matches the Rfam family "Bacterial small subunit ribosomal RNA", at positions 1281 to 1500 of the family's 1533-position model. The record is from RNAcentral.